RNAcentral lists this transfer RNA (542 nucleotides) under uncultured cyanobacterium. RNAcentral's name for it is "partial 16S-23S ribosomal RNA intergenic spacer". The stretch from base 212 to 284 matches the Rfam family "tRNA". The record is from RNAcentral. Lineage: Bacteria; Bacillati; Cyanobacteriota.
CAGGGAGACAACAAAAUGUUAAAUAUUAAUUUUGUCACCUUAGGUCGAUCGGUAUCUCAUGUUCUUAAUUACUUUAAGAAUUUCAUUUCCUAAGUUUUUUCUAGGUCACACCCAUUAUUUUUCCUGGGCCAUUAGCUCAGGUGGUUAGAGCGCACCCCUGAUAAGGGUGAGGUCCCUGGUUCAAGUCCAGGAUGGCCCAUAUCUCUAUGUUGGGGGUAUAGCUCAGUUGGUAGAGCGCCUGCUUUGCAAGCAGGAUGUCAGCGGCUCGAGUCCGCUUACCUCCACUGAUUACCACCUCUUCCAUAACCGGUAGUAAAGGAAAUGUUUUGAGUUGUGAUCAAAUUCUGAAAGAAUCUAGCUUCCUAAUGAAAUCAUUAAGAUGCUGGACUCAUUGAAUUAAUUUCAUUGUUUUCAGAGAACCUUGACAACUGCAUAGAUUAUUUUUAAAGACAAUAAGCAUCUUUAAUGAUGCAGAUUUAUUAUUUGUGCGAAUGCAUUAAUAACAAUUCUAUUAAGCUGAUGCUUCAAUUUUUGAAGUUAUU